This 228-nucleotide ribosomal RNA is filed under the name uncultured bacterium. Its description in RNAcentral is "partial 16S ribosomal RNA". It matches the Rfam family "Bacterial small subunit ribosomal RNA", at positions 568 to 795 of the family's 1533-position model. The record is from RNAcentral.
UGCGUAGGCGGUUUAAUAAGUCAGAGGUGAAAGCCCGCAGCUCAACUGUGGAAUUGCCUUUGAUACUGUUAGACUUGAAUCAGGUUGAGGUUGGCGGAAUGUGGCAUGUAGCGGUGAAAUGCAUAGAUAUGCCAUAGAACACCAAUUGCGAAGGCAGCUGACUAGACCUGUAUUGACGCUGAGGCACGAAAGCGUGGGGAGCGAACAGGAUUAGAUACCCUGGUAGUC